Xenia sp. Carnegie-2017 is the source of this 339-nucleotide long non-coding RNA. RefSeq lists it as uncharacterized. The record is from RefSeq and is a predicted model, not a curated record. NCBI's taxonomy places the organism in Eukaryota, Metazoa, Cnidaria, Anthozoa, Malacalcyonacea, Xeniidae. The transcript has 2 exons.
GUCACAUCUAUGGUGACAGUGAGUCAAGAUGUAUGAAACGAUACCAUACAUACACGGUGGUCACUUGAAAUCAAUUGCUUUUUGAAAAGUGGACACAUAAAAGAGAGAAUACCCCACUAUUGGUUGUAGUCAGAAGAUCCAUUCUUGUGGGAUUUAUCAACCAAAAUAAUUUCUAAAUUCUAUACAUGUAGCUACUAUUUAUGUUCAAAGCAAAUAUAUGGGAAUUCCAAUAUAUGGUAAGCCCAAUAAAAAAACAAUUGUCUGUACUCAAUUUGUAACUAGUUGAUUAGCAUGUGAUGAAAAUAGAAAAUUUUUAACAAUCUUUAUUUUAUAGAAAAA